UUAGCUCAGUUGGUAGAGCACCUGACUCUUAAUCAGGGUGUCCAGGGUUCGAGUCCCUGA
RNAcentral lists this transfer RNA (60 nucleotides) under bovine gut metagenome. It matches the Rfam family "tRNA", at positions 7 to 64 of the family's 71-position model. Rfam says of the family: Transfer RNA (tRNA) molecules are approximately 80 nucleotides in length. The record is from RNAcentral.